GGGUACAUAACAUUAUUCUUUUGGUAUUAUAAAAAGUCAAGGUUUUUUUGAUAUGAGCGUUUAAAGUUAAAAUAUUGAUCAAAAUCAUAAAAAUCACGACAUUUGGUGUAUGAGUCGUAUGUAGAUACUGUUUUCCGAUUUACGCUACAGCAAUUAUUUGGCCCGGCAAAAUUACUAAAAAUCGUACAAGGUUUCAUCAUAACCGGCUAUACCAUUGGUAAAAAAUAAGUUGAGCGUAAUGUUGUCGUAAUUAUCCCUGACUAUUGUACUUUAUUAUGUCUGUGGCGUUGUGUAUGUCUAUUUCUUGGCACGUUUGAACACGUUAAACAGCUCUGAACGAAAAGAGUUCAAAAUCGAAAAAUACGAUUUUUUUUAUAUGGGGAUUAAAGGACACAGCAAUUUUAGUUAAAUUUCAAUAUGAACUUCUCCAUGUUGUUGCUGAAAGAAAGUGUUUUGUUAACUUUUGAACUUAGACCCCUGCAGACCUUCCAAAUGAAGCCAGGGAUACAAUUUUGUAUAUACAUGGUAUACAAGUGUAAAGGAUGUGCCUUUGGAUGGUUUUACAUUUCAAUCCCCUCUCCAAUCAUCGUUAUGCUUAGAUUUAAUGUUUUACAGGAAAUACCGG
Cinara cedri is the source of this 625-nucleotide non-coding RNA. NCBI's taxonomy places the organism in Eukaryota, Metazoa, Arthropoda, Insecta, Hemiptera, Aphididae. The record is from the annotation of a GenBank genome assembly.